UCGNGCGGAACGAGUUANCUGANCCUUCGGGGAANGUUAACGGCGNCNANCGNCGGACGGGUGAGUAAUGCCUGGGAAAUUGCCCUGAUGUGGGGGAUAACCAUUGGAAACGAUGGCUAAUACCGCAUAAUAGCUUCGGCUCAAAGAGGGGGACCUUCGGGCCUCUCGCGUCAGGAUAUGCCCAGGUGGGAUUAGCUAGUUGGUGAGGUAAUGGCUCACCAAGGCGACGAUCCCUAGCUGGUCUGAGAGGAUGAUCAGCCACACUGGAACUGAGACACGGUCCAGACUCCUACGGGAGGCAGCAGUGGGGAAUAUUGCACAAUGGGCGCAAGCCUGAUGCAGCCAUGCCGCGUGUAUGAAGAAGGCCUUCGGGUUGUAAAGUACUUUCAGCAGUGAGGAAGGUGGUGUCGUUAAUAGCGGCAUCAUUUGACGUUAGCUGCAGAAGAAGCACCGGCUAACUCCGUGCCAGCAGCCGCGGUAAUACGGAGGGUGCGAGCGUUAAUCGGAAUUACUGGGCGUAAAGCGCAUGCAGGUGGUUUGUUAAGUCAGAUGUGAAAGCCCGGGGCUCAACCUCGGAAUUGCAUUUGAAACUGGCAGACUAGAGUACUGUANAGGGGGGUAGAAUUUCAGGUGUAGCGGUGAAAUGCGUAGAGAUCUGAAGGAAUACCGGNGGCGAAGGCGGCCCCCUGGNCAGAUACUGACACUCAGAUGCGAA
RNAcentral lists this ribosomal RNA (715 nucleotides) under Vibrio sp. HR08-09. RNAcentral's name for it is "bacterial SSU rRNA". It matches the Rfam family "Bacterial small subunit ribosomal RNA", at positions 62 to 757 of the family's 1533-position model. Lineage: Bacteria; Pseudomonadati; Pseudomonadota; Gammaproteobacteria; Vibrionales; Vibrionaceae. The record is from RNAcentral.